Molecule: long non-coding RNA, 205 nt
Organism: Lingula anatina
Lineage: Eukaryota; Metazoa; Brachiopoda; Lingulata; Lingulida; Lingulidae
Source: RefSeq, a predicted model, not a curated record
CAGUGAUGUUUUCGGCAUGUUUUUAUUGAGGUGCAGAUUAUGUGACCAGUUUUUAUUGGUAAAAUACACAGCAUUUAUCAGAGAUCGAGGGCGUCAUAAUUUAGGAGAGGAUGGAUUUCUUCGAAGCUGUGGUAGAUGAAAUUGCACUGGAAGGUUUAGAUGGUAUAACAAUAGCAACACUAUGGUUACGUCUAGAAGAUCGGCG